This 418-nucleotide ribosomal RNA is filed under the name Alexandrium tamarense. Its description in RNAcentral is "partial Bacterial large subunit ribosomal RNA". It matches the Rfam family "Bacterial large subunit ribosomal RNA", at positions 1464 to 1869 of the family's 2925-position model. Lineage: Eukaryota; Dinophyceae; Gonyaulacales; Pyrocystaceae. The record is from RNAcentral.
AUGGGGGGACGGAUCGUGGAAGGUUGUCCGGGUGUUGGAAGUCCCGGUUCUUGGCUUGUAGGUGUCUGGUAGGAAAAUCCGCCAGGCGUAUACCGAGGGGUUGAGACGAGCGAGCUUGCUCGCGAAGCAACUGGAAGGGGUCCCAGGAAAAGCCUCUAAGCUUCAGCUCAGAGCGACCGUACCGCAAACCGACACUGGUGCGCGAGAUGAGUAUUCUAAGGCGCUUGAGAGAACUCUGGAGAAGGAACUCGGCAAAUUGACACCGUAACUUCGGGAGAAGGUGUGCCCUCAGUAGGUGAACCUGUACAAGGGGAGCCCAAAGGGGUUGCAAAGAAUAGGUGGCUGCGACUGUUUAUUAAAAACACAGCACUCUGCAAACACGAAAGUGGACGUAUAGGGUGUGACGCCUGCCCGGUGC